This 586-nucleotide ribosomal RNA is filed under the name uncultured bacterium. RNAcentral describes it as "bacterial SSU rRNA". The stretch from base 1 to 515 matches the Rfam family "Bacterial small subunit ribosomal RNA", at positions 338 to 1533 of the family's 1533-position model. The record is from RNAcentral.
CCUACGGGAGGCAGCAGUGGGGAAUAUUGCGCAAUGGACGAAAGUCUGACGCAGCGACGCCGCGUGGGUGAAGAAGGCCUUCGGGUUGUAAAGCCCUGUCAGGGGGGACGAAGGGAAACUGACGGUACUCCCAGAGGAAGCCCCGGCCAACUACGUGCCAGCAGCCGCGGUAAUACGUAGGGGGCGAGCGUUGUCCGGAAUCAUUGGGCGUAAAGAGCACGUAGCGGCCUGUCAGGUCGGAUGUGAAAACCCGCGGCUCAACUGCGGGAUUGCAUUCGAAACCGGCAGGCUAGAGUCCAGUAGAGGAAAGUGGAAUUCCCAGUGUUGCGGUGAAAUGCGCAGAUAUUGGGAAGAACACCGGUGGCAAAGGGGUUUCUGGGCUGUGACUGACGCUUGAGUGCGAAACUAGGGAGCAACAGAUUAAUACCUGGUAUCUACGUAACAUUGGCACUAGUGUUGGGAGUGUAUCUUUCCGGCGAACUUACCAUUAACACUCCCCUUGGAUCGCCCCAGUUAACCCAAGAAUUGACGAAUCCUUAUUAUUCCGGCGCUUCAGGUUGACAUUUUGAAAACUCCCACCCCUUUG